Cairina moschata (Muscovy duck) is the source of this 129-nucleotide small nucleolar RNA. The record is from Ensembl. NCBI's taxonomy places the organism in Eukaryota, Metazoa, Chordata, Aves, Anseriformes, Anatidae.
GUGCAUGUUAAACCAAGAGUUGUGGCUCUGAAAUGGCUGCAGGUCUCCAACAACAUGCGAGAGCAAGGGGAAGGUCUUUGACUGCUGGGCCUCUUCUGCCUGUUGCUGUCACUCGCCCUUCCUAUACGU